AACACGCUCCUUAGAUCCACCUCUGGGGGGCACUCCUGUGCUGGUGCUGUUGUCUCUGAGCGCUGCAGCUCCAGCUUGGAGGCCCUCAACAGCUUUUUGGCUGUACAGUUGGAGGUGCAUGAGUCAUUGGCGUGUGAGAGCAGUCUACCUGCCUCCCAGCACCUCUGAUGCCCUGGCAACCCUCAGUUCCACUGACGGGACCCUACCAGUGCAGCUAUGCUGGGGGAUGGACAAU
Hucho hucho (huchen) is the source of this 235-nucleotide small nucleolar RNA. Lineage: Eukaryota; Metazoa; Chordata; Actinopteri; Salmoniformes; Salmonidae. The record is from Ensembl.